This 32-nucleotide ribosomal RNA is filed under the name Dendrobium microbulbon. RNAcentral describes it as "partial 26S ribosomal RNA". The record is from RNAcentral. Lineage: Eukaryota; Viridiplantae; Streptophyta; Magnoliopsida; Asparagales; Orchidaceae.
GCGACCCCUGGAUGGGCGAGGCCACCCGCUGA